RNAcentral lists this unclassified non-coding RNA (737 nucleotides) under Hevea brasiliensis (rubber tree). Lineage: Eukaryota; Viridiplantae; Streptophyta; Magnoliopsida; Malpighiales; Euphorbiaceae. The record is from RNAcentral.
CCUUAAGCAAUGAUUCAUGAAUCUGUGGUGAAAGGACGGUCUCACAUGAAAGUUUAGCAAUCUCAUGGAAUGCUUGAAUCGAGUUAAUUCUUGAGUUGGGACUCGAUGCUGUGCAACUGCUGUGCAACUCAUGGUUGUAAAAAAAAAAACUAAUUCAGGAAGCUAUUAGAUUAUAUAUCCAGAAAAAACAGUUCUCUACAUCACACAUAUACUGCAGAAACAUUUAGGAAAAGCCAGUUCCACCAGUUCAGUUGUGCUUGGCUGAAUACCACCAUGUUGUCUAUGCCAGAGUUUCGUCAAAAUCUAUGUGCCUAAAUCCUUUGCCUAGAGAAUGAGGAAACCAAAGUUCUAACCAGAGAGGAAUAGUGAGGAAAGCACAAAAAUGGCUAUGAGCUAUGAUGCAACUCAUAAUCCAGCAUCGUAUGCAACUUUAAUACAUUUCUACUUACUGUUAACAAUGGCAGUGUGGUCUUGCAGCCAAGAAGCAUAAUGUAGCUGCAAUAGAUAAGGGCUCAGAUAUUGGUCAGAUCCGAUCAGCCAGGUACUUCACCAGUGAGUUGACAGGCUUAGCAGUAUCAACACCUUCAAUUCCCCUGCACCUAAUCUUAAUCCGAGCAAGGUAAUCAGCUGCGAUCCAAGCAAAGCUCAACAUUGCUGCAUUGACAGCAGCAUCAGGCUCUUGCAACUCCAUUGACUUUUUUAUCCAUUUGGGAUGGUAAGCAACCUGGUACCAUGCU